GACCUUGAAAUACCACCCUUUAAUGUUUGAUGUUCUAACGUGGACCCGUGAUCCGGGUUGCGGACAGUGUCUGGUGGGUAGUUUGACUGGGGCGGUCUCCUCCUAAAGAGUAACGGAGGAGCACGAAGGUUGGCUAAUCCUGGUCGGACAUCAGGAGGUUAGUGCAAUGGCAUAAGCCAGCUUGACUGCGAGCGUGACGGCGCGAGCAGGUGCGAAAGCAGGUCAUAGUGAUCCGGUGGUUCUGAAUGGAAGGGCCAUCGCUCAACGGAUAAAAGGUACUCCGGGGAUAACAGGCUGAUACCGCCCAAGAGUUCAUAUCGACGGCGGUGUUUGGCACCUCGAUGUCGGCUCAUCACAUCCUGGGGCUGAAGUAGGUCCCAAGGGUAUGGCUGUUCGCCAUUUAAAGUGGUACGCGAGCUGGGUUUAGAACGUCGUGAGACAGUUCGGUCCCUAUCUGCCGUGGGCGCUGGAGAACUGAGGGGGGCUGCUCCUAGUACGAGAGGACCGGAGUGGACGCAUCACUGGUGUUCGGG
RNAcentral lists this ribosomal RNA (533 nucleotides) under Salmonella enterica. Its description in RNAcentral is "partial 23S ribosomal RNA". It matches the Rfam family "Bacterial large subunit ribosomal RNA", at positions 2188 to 2720 of the family's 2925-position model. The record is from RNAcentral. Lineage: Bacteria; Pseudomonadati; Pseudomonadota; Gammaproteobacteria; Enterobacterales; Enterobacteriaceae.